RNAcentral lists this small RNA (128 nucleotides) under Clostridium autoethanogenum. RNAcentral's name for it is "c-di-AMP sequence". It matches the Rfam family "c-di-AMP riboswitch aptamer (ydaO/yuaA leader)". Rfam says of the family: This family represents a conserved RNA structure found upstream of the ydaO and yuaA genes in Bacillus subtilis and related genes in other bacteria. Lineage: Bacteria; Bacillati; Bacillota; Clostridia; Eubacteriales; Clostridiaceae. The record is from RNAcentral.
CAAUAUCAUUAGCCUAAGUUUUACUAAAAACGCGGGGAAACCAGUAACAUUGGGGUGAAUCGUAUUUACGUAGGUUAUGCCUUUACCGAACCCGUCAGCUAACCCCGUCGGUAAUAAGGAGAGGAUUA